UGGGGAAUUUUGGACAAUGGGCGCAAGCCUGAUCCAGCCAUUCCGCGUGCAGGAUGAAGGCCCUCGGGUUGUAAACUGCUUUUGUACGGAACGAAAAAGCUCCCUCUAAUACAGGGAGUCCAUGACGGUACCGUAAGAAUAAGCACCGGCUAACUACGUGCCAGCAGCCGCGGUAAUACGUAGGGUGCAAGCGUUAAUCGGAAUUACUGGGCGUAAAGCGUGCGCAGGCGGUGAUGUAAGACAGAUGUGAAAUCCCCGGGCUCAACCUGGGAACUGCAUUUGUGACUGCAUCGCUGGAGUGCGGCAGAGGGGGAUGGAAUUCCGCGUGUAGCAGUGAAAUGCGUAGAUAUGCGGAGGAACACCGAUGGCGAAGGCAAUCCCCUGGGCCUGCACUGACGCUCAUGCACGAAAGCGUGGGGAGCAAACA
RNAcentral lists this ribosomal RNA (427 nucleotides) under uncultured Ramlibacter sp. Its description in RNAcentral is "bacterial SSU rRNA". It matches the Rfam family "Bacterial small subunit ribosomal RNA", at positions 355 to 774 of the family's 1533-position model. Lineage: Bacteria; Pseudomonadati; Pseudomonadota; Betaproteobacteria; Burkholderiales; Comamonadaceae. The record is from RNAcentral.